Molecule: ribosomal RNA, 282 nt
Filed under: uncultured prokaryote
Description: partial 16S ribosomal RNA
Rfam family: Bacterial small subunit ribosomal RNA
Source: RNAcentral
UACGUAGGGGCUAGCGUUAUCCGGAAUUACUGGGCGUAAAGGGUGCGUAGGUGGUUUCUUAAGUCAGAGGUUAGAGGCUACGGCUCAACCGUAGUAAGCCUUUGAAACUGAGAAACUUGAGUGCGGGAGAGGAGAGUAGAAUUCCUAGUGUAGCGGUGAAAUGCGUAGAUAUUAGGAGGAAUACCAGUUGCGAAGGCGGCUCUCUGGACUGUAACUGACACUGAGGCACGAAAGCGUGGGGAGCAAACAGGAUUAGAUACCCCGGUAGUCCCUGAGCGGGCU